GCAGCAGCCGCGGUAAUACGUAGGUGGCAAGCGUUGUCCGGAAUUAUUGGGCGUAAAGCGCGCGCAGGCGGAUAGGUCAGUCUGUCUUAAAAGUUCGGGGCUUAACCCCGUGAUGGGAUGGAAACUGCCAACCUAGAGUAUCGGAGAGGAAAGUGGGAUUCCUAGUGUAGCGGUGAAAUGCGUAGAUAUUAGGAAGAGCACCAGUGGCGAAGGCGACUUUCUGGACGAAAACUGACGCUGAGGCGCGAAAGCCAGGGGAGCGAACGGGAUUAGAUACCUCAGUAGUCCCUGUCUCUUAUACA
RNAcentral lists this ribosomal RNA (302 nucleotides) under uncultured bacterium. RNAcentral's name for it is "partial 16S ribosomal RNA". It matches the Rfam family "Bacterial small subunit ribosomal RNA", at positions 508 to 809 of the family's 1533-position model. The record is from RNAcentral.